GUCAUUGCUGUUUUUGAAUAGCUGGAGGGUUAGUGUCGUACCUUACUAUGUGACUACCCUCCAGCUAUUCAAAAACAGCAUUA
RNAcentral lists this microRNA precursor (83 nucleotides) under Paramuricea clavata. Lineage: Eukaryota; Metazoa; Cnidaria; Anthozoa; Malacalcyonacea; Plexauridae. The record is from RNAcentral.